Non-coding RNA from Acanthosepion pharaonis, 94 nucleotides. The record is from the annotation of a GenBank genome assembly. Lineage: Eukaryota; Metazoa; Mollusca; Cephalopoda; Sepiida; Sepiidae.
GACAGACCAUUUCCCAUAUGAUCACCGAAGUUAAGCAACAUCAAGCAUGGCUAGUAGCUAGAUAGGUGACUGCUUGGGAAUGCCAGGUGGUGUA